GUGUGAUCUAGAGGCUGCUGAUCGAAGGCUUGGACAAGUGGAACGACUAGAUCGAGAUCUAGUCACUAGUUUUGGCAAAGGUAGGAUCUCAAGGGCCAUAUGUAUUGAUGGCCAAUUAUGGUAAGUAAGUUUAUGAUGGUUUCCAUUGUAUUUUGGAUCUGAUAUGUCUAGUGACGAUUGUAGGAUAUCGUGGGAGAUUUUGGUAGCAGUUGUCGCAAAUCAGGUGUGUAAAGGACACCCACUCAUAGACUAGAUCGGUAAAAGCCAAAAAGCUGAAAUGCCGAAAAGUCGACAUUUUGUGAACUUGCGAGCGUGCGAGCGCUCGUGUGAUGGUUUGGUUGUUAAUUUUGGUAAUCACAAGC
This 362-nucleotide long non-coding RNA is filed under the name Gossypium barbadense (sea-island cotton). RNAcentral describes it as "long non-coding RNA (GBAR_LNC010504)". Lineage: Eukaryota; Viridiplantae; Streptophyta; Magnoliopsida; Malvales; Malvaceae. The record is from RNAcentral.